CUGCAGUAACCCUUGGCCAACGACCUCCGCCGCCGGGAAAUAUUUACAUCUCCGGCUACCGACGGAUUUGUAUAACGUAUUUAAUCUUCAUUAUACAUCCGAACGUAGGAAAUGGAGGUUCUUCGGUUUACCGCCGUGAAAUCAUUGAAUUCAUGCGUCCGUCCAGAAUUCACGGCGAUGAGUUCCGUCAUUGUUCCUAUUAGCACUGUGAAAGUUUCUGGAACGAGGAAAAGCAAAAAGAAGGCGCUUAUUUGUGCUAAGGCGACGGAGAUCUUGUCAUCGCCAGCUACGGUAACGGAACCGUUGAAGGCGGAGCCGGCAGAGGCACCGGUUCCGUUGCUACGAGUUUCUCCGAGCUCGUUGCAGUGUGAGCCGGGAUAUUUGUUACCGAAUAGUCCGGUUUUAGGUACGGGUGGUGUGACCGGGUAUGAGUAUCUGACGAACAUCUUGUCAUCGAAAGUUUAUGAUGUAGCUUAUGAGACGCCUUUGCAGAAAGCUCCUAAGCUGUCAGAAAGAUUGGGAGUUAAUGUAUGGCUAAAAAGAGAGGAUCUUCAGCCGGUGUUUUCGUUCAAAAUCAGAGGAGCUUACAAUAUGAUGGCAAAACUCCCGAAAGAGCAGUUGGAAAAAGGGGUUAUAUGCUCAUCAGCAGGAAACCAUGCACAAGGUGUUGCAUUAUCUGCUCAGAGACUUGGCUGCGAUGCUGUGAUUGUUAUGCCUGUUACUACACCAGACAUCAAAUGGAAAUCAGUUAAGAGAUUGGGUGCUACUGUUGUUCUUGUUGGGGACUCAUAUGAUGAAGCUCAAGCAUAUGCCAAAAAGCGGGCUGAAUCUGAAGGCCGCACAUUCAUCCCUCCUUUUGAUCACCCAGAUGUCAUUGUAGGUCAGGGUACAGUAGGGAUGGAGAUAAAUCGCCAACUCAAAGAUAACAUUCAUGCAAUCUUUGUGCCUGUUGGAGGAGGGGGGCUUAUAGCUGGUAUUGCUGCUUAUUUGAAAAGGGUUGCCCCAGAUAUAAAGAUUAUUGGAGUUGAACCACUUGAUGCUAAUGCAUUGGCAUUAUCAUUACAUCAUGGUCAGAGAGUAAUGCUGGACCAAGUUGGGGGUUUUGCAGAUGGUGUAGCUGUUAAAGUGGUUGGUGAAGAGACUUAUCGUCUGUGCGAGGAAUUAAUAGAUGGCGUUGUCCUAGUUGGUCGUGAUGCUAUAUGUGCAUCUAUAAAGGACAUGUUUGAAGAGAAAAGGAGCAUACUAGAGCCGGCAGGUGCACUUGCUCUUGCUGGAGCCGAGGCAUACUGCAAGUAUUAUGGCCUCAAGGGUGAAAACGUAGUAGCAAUAACUAGUGGAGCCAACAUGAACUUUGACAGGCUUAGAUUGGUAACAGAACUCGCAGAUGUUGGUAGACAGCGGGAAGCUGUUCUUGCUACUUUUAUGCCAGAAGACCCAGGAAGCUUCAAAAAGUUCGCUGAAAUGGUAGGACCAAUGAAUAUCACUGAAUUCAAGUACAGAUACAACUCUGAUAAAGAAAGAGCUCUUGUACUUUACAGUGUUGGACUUCACACAAUAUUAGAACUUGAAGGAAUGGUGGAGAGGAUGGAAUCAGCAGAUCUGCAAACCAUUAAUCUUACAGACAAUGACUUGGUCAAAGAUCAUCUUAGGCAUUUGAUGGGUGGUAGAACAAAUGUUCAUAAUGAGCUUUUGUGUCGAUUCACUUUUCCUGAGAAGCCUGGUGCUUUGAUGAAGUUUUUAGAUGCUUUCAGCCCACGUUGGAAUAUAAGUUUGUUUCAUUAUCGUGCACAGGGAGAUACUGGUGCAAAUGUGCUAGUCGGGAUCCAAGUUCCACCGGAUGAGGUAGUUGAGUUUGAGGGACGGGCAGACAGUCUUGGUUAUGAAUAUGCAAUGGAGAGUCUCAAUGAGGCAUACCAGCUCAUAAUGCAUUGAAAAAAGGUGUUGCCUGUUAUGGCUUGUUCUGGGUCCUCAUUGCAACACCGACUUCACUUUCUCCUGGUUAGUCAGAUAUUCUGAAUCCUCCUCGACGAUGGAAGAUUGCCUGUUUUAUAUACAACCAGUGUACUAGAUGAUUUUGGGCUAGUCUUUAUCUUGUGUACAUAAGCUAUUUGUAUGUUGUUAUCUAAAGACCUCUACUUCCAUGAAUAAACCAUUUCACUUUAAAGCUAAUCUCAG
RNAcentral lists this unclassified non-coding RNA (2175 nucleotides) under Hevea brasiliensis (rubber tree). Lineage: Eukaryota; Viridiplantae; Streptophyta; Magnoliopsida; Malpighiales; Euphorbiaceae. The record is from RNAcentral.